RNAcentral lists this small RNA (552 nucleotides) under Pan troglodytes (chimpanzee). RNAcentral's name for it is "processed transcript". The record is from RNAcentral. Lineage: Eukaryota; Metazoa; Chordata; Mammalia; Primates; Hominidae.
AACUCCUGGCCAGGCCCUGUCCUCCCCACGUACCCCUGCAUCCCCAGCCUCGACCCAGGGACAUGCAGGGCUCACAGAAGACAGGGCUCAGGCUGCCGGAGCUCCAACCAAACUCUGUCCCACUUCACGCAUGGACUGUCCUGGGCAAAGGUGUUCACCUUUCCGAGCCUCGGUUUCCUUAUCUGUAAAGCAAAGCGACACCAGCAAGCCUGUGAGCAUUGUGUAUAUAGCAGACAUGGAGGUCCUGCAGCAGGAGGUGCUCAAUAAACACAAAGCGACUGAAGGAUGGGAUGUGCGAGAAUCCCAGUGGUGUGCACCCAGGCCGCGACACAUGGUGGUGUGCAUGACCAACUGCCCAACGCUCAUUGUCAUGGUGGGCCUGCCCGCCAGGGGCAAGACCUACAUCUCCAAGAAGCUGACUCGAUACCUGAACUGGAUUGGUGUGCCCACUCGGGAGUUCAAUGUUGGCCAGUAUCGCCGGGACGUGGUCAAGACCUACAAAUCUUUUGAAUUUUUUCUCCCCGACAAUGAAGAGGGCCUGAAAAUCAGGAA